This 253-nucleotide ribosomal RNA is filed under the name uncultured bacterium. Its description in RNAcentral is "partial 16S ribosomal RNA". It matches the Rfam family "Bacterial small subunit ribosomal RNA", at positions 524 to 776 of the family's 1533-position model. The record is from RNAcentral.
UACGUAGGGUGCAAGCGUUGUCCGGAAUUAUUGGGCGUAAAGAGCGUGUAGGCGGCCAGAUAAGUCCGCUGUGAAAUCUCGAGGCUCAACUUCGAGCUGUCGGUGGAAACUAUCUGGCUAGAGUCCGGAAGAGGAGAAUGGAAUUCCUGGUGUAGCGGUGAAAUGCGCAGAUAUCAGGAAGAACACCCGUGGCGAAGGCGGUUCUCCGGGACGGUACUGACGCUGAGACGCGAAAGCGUGGGGAGCGAACAGG